Molecule: unclassified non-coding RNA, 345 nt
Filed under: Borreliella valaisiana
Lineage: Bacteria; Pseudomonadati; Spirochaetota; Spirochaetia; Spirochaetales; Borreliaceae
Description: partial contains 5S-23S ribosomal RNA intergenic spacer and 23S ribosomal RNA
Rfam family: Bacterial large subunit ribosomal RNA (bases 219-345)
Source: RNAcentral
UUUUGAGUUCGCGGGAGAGUAGGUUAUUGCCAGGGUUUUUAUUUUGUACUUUAAAUCCUAAAUUUAUUUUUUAUAUUUUUAUAAUGUUCAUGUUUUUGAAUGUUUUAUUCAAAUAAUGUAAAAAAUAAAAUAGAUAUUGACAUGGAUUGAACAAAAGAUAUAUAUUAUUUUAUGUUGCAUAAACAAAUUGGCAAAAUAGAGAUGGAAGAUAAAAAUAUGGUCAAAGUAAUAAGAGUCUAUGGUGAAUGCCUAGGAGCUUUAAGGCGAAGAAGGUCGUGGUAAGCUGCGAAAAGCUUGGGGGAGAAGCAAACAUUUAUUGAUCCCAAGAUUACCGAAUGGAGUAAU